This 8477-nucleotide long non-coding RNA is filed under the name Sus scrofa (pig). Its description in RNAcentral is "lncRNA (ENSSSCG00040058005.1)". The record is from RNAcentral. Lineage: Eukaryota; Metazoa; Chordata; Mammalia; Artiodactyla; Suidae.
CAUAUCUGACGUGAUAUUAGCCUGGAGUUUUCAUGGAACUGUGCUUAAUCCUGAUGCCAUUGGUUGGUAUCCAUAUUUAUCCUAAACCAAAAAGCAUCCAUAUACCCCAUUGUUGUGUUUGUUGCUUUAUCCAAAGCAUAAUUCCUGGGCUUUAUUUGUCCUGUGGGUGAUUGUUGUUUCUCCCAGUGAUUUUUAAAAUUUUGAAUUUGUUUCUCUUUAGAUGACGUGUACACCCUCCAGCUGUUCCCAUUCCCCACCAUCCAUUCCCUAUCAUCUGACACUAGCUUCCCUCAGUUACUUUGUCUGCCUGACUCCUGUGGCCAUUUGCCUUUGCAUUCUUCUUUUGCACAGUGUGAUGAUUAAUUUUAUGCACUACUUGGCAAGGCCAUGGUACUCAGAUAGUUGCUCAAACACCAGUCUAGAUGUCACUGUGGAAGUGUUUUAGGUAAGAUUAACAUUUAAAGCAAUAGACAUUGAGUAAACCAGGUAACCCUCCAUAAUGUGGGUGGGCCUCAUCUAAUCAGUUGAAGACCUUACAAGGAAAAGACUGAGAUCCCCUGAAGAAGAGAGUUUCUGCCUCAUACUGUCUUUGAACUCAAGCUGCAACAUCAGCUCUUCCUCCGAUCUCCAACCUCCUGGGCUUCCCAGUAGAAUUUGGAGUUGUCAGCCCCUGUAAUCAUGUGAGUAAUUUCUUCAAAAGAAUCUCUCUCUCUUUCUUUCUCUUUCUCUUUCUUUCACUCCAGAUAUAGCUAUUGAUCAAUCAGUUGAUCGAUAGAUAGAUAUAUAUCCACACCCAUUGGUUCUGUUUUCUGGAGAUCCCUGCCUAAUAUACACAAUGAGCUGUUUAUAGAGAACCGUAAGAACUAACAGUCGAUUUGCUUCAUCUUGUGGUUGCUGAGUCAUGUGAGUGAAGAGAUUCCCCUCUUUGCAUUGACUUGAAAAGCAUAGAACCAAGGGUUCCCUUAAUCCUUAGUUGGGUUAAGGAUUCAGCAUUGUUACUGCUAUGGUUUAGGUUGCUGCUGUGGCUUGGGUAUGAUCUCUGGCCUGGGAACUUUCACAUGUUGCAGGUGUGGCCAAAAUAAAUAAAUAGAUAAAAACUUGGAACCAUAUCUGUGUCUUAACUUUAGCAGGUUUAGCAAAUAAAUAGUGAAGGAUGCAGGCUGCAUAUCACUGAUAGGGGAGGCAUACUAGGGCAAAGUGGUAGGGAUACCAAGUUUGGGUUAUACUGGGAGGGCAUUUGGUUCCCAUAUUUAGUUUGAAUCCACACCCCCACCUCCUGUCUUUGGUAAGUGUCUCUGUCUGUUGGGCUGUUACAACAAAAUACUGCAGACUGGGCAACUUAUAAACAAUCCAGUCCUGGUAUUUGCAUCAGAGAAAUAAAAGCACACAUUCACACAAAGAUUUGUAUAUAAAUCUCCAUAGCAACUCUAUUUAGAAUAACCCCAACCUGGGAACAACCUGCAUGUUUGACAGGUGAAUAGAAAAACAAAUGAUGAAACAUCCGUACAAUGGAACACUGUUCAGCAAUACAUAUGAAUGAUCUAUUGACACGUGCAACAGAUGGAUGAAUCUCAGAGUAAUUUUGUUGAGUGAAAGGAAAAAGUAUAUGGGGAGAGCAGUCUGGAGGGUUGAUUAACAGUCAGGUGUGGGUACAAAGGGUCAUACUGAUGGGGCUGGGGUGGAAGACUCUCUAGAAAUCAUCACCUCCCUUCUCUUGCCUGAAACCAGUAGGAUGAGAUCACCUCCCUUUUCAAGGAUUUGGGGAAAUUGGAAUACACGUUUGGGGACUUAUGUGGUCCAUAACACUAGCCUGUAUUUGUAUGUUUACUCAAUGUCACGGAGACCCCUACAUGGUGGUGUACUAUGCUCAGAACACAUUUAAGAUAAAACCACUCAGCAUGGUAGUCCUGAAAACAGUCAUCUGAGAGUUUACAAAACUCUAUAGUCAGGAAGGAAAUUAUGUCCCCCAGUACUUCCAUGAGGAACUCAUUUCGGUCACCUGUCUUAGAGAUGACAAAAGAGUGGUGGAAAAAGAAAUUCUAAUACAAGUUGUUUCUGGAAAAUCUUAGGAGCAGAGUUUCUCUUGAUUGAUUUUCUAGACUCAGCUAGAAAUACUAAUCUGGUAUCUUGUAAGAUGCAUAUUGGGGUCAGAUAGACUAGGAACCAUGAGGUUGCAGGUUCAAUCCCUGGCCUCGCUCAGUGGGUUCAUAAGGAUCUGGCAUUGCCAUGAGCUGCGGUGUAGGUCGAAGAUGAGGCUCGGAUCCUGUAUUGCUGUGGCUGUGGCCUAGGCCGGCAGCUGUAGCUCCGAUUUGACCCCUAGCCUGGGAACCUUCAUAUGCAGUGGGUUUGGCCCUAAAACGACAAAAAGAGAGAGAGAGAAAAGGGGAGAUCCUAUUGUGGCCCAGCAGGUUAAAAACCUGCCUAGUACCCAUGAGGAUUCGGAGUUCCGUCCCUGGCCUUGCACAGUGGGUUAAGGAUCCAGCGUUGCUGUGAGCUAUGGUGUAGGUCAAAGACCUGGCUUGGAUCCCUCGUUGGUGUGACUGUGGUAUAGGCUGGCAGCUGUAGCUCUGAUUCAACCCCUAGCCGGAGAACUUCCAUAUGCCAUGGGCGUGGCCCUUGAAAAAAAAGAGAGAGAGAGAGAAAAGGCCCCAGAACAGCCCUGAGCACCAAAGUGGAGAGACGGGACCAAGGAAAGUUGAACUUGCAAAAAUAACGAGGGGCUUUCGCUGAAGGUGAAGGAGAAUUGGGUGUGUGGCGUCACAGAAGCAAAAGAAACAUCACGAGGACCAGCCAGCUCGGGACACACUCAAUGAGAGUUAGUGUCCCCCUGAUGGAAAUAACAUCAUUCCUUUAUUUUAGGUCUUUCAGAGGAUAUAACAUUACCUUUUAUCCCAGCAUAAAUUCUCCUUGCAAUGGCAUUUUUUACCUCUUUCAUGUGUCUUUCAAGGUUGAAACAUGGAGCCCUGAAGAGCCGCGGGUUGGUCCCUCCUCUUCGAAAGCAUCCAUUUGCCAGCUUGCAGACCCACCAAGCGAAGGUUUCUUUUUUUCCGCCUGCGGGUCACGUGAUUUAAUUUGCCUGAGUAACCUGCUGUCAUAGGUUUUCACAGAGUCCUGACGUCUAACAGAGUAAUUAAUGCUUUAGGCUUCUAGGAACUGUUUCAGGAUUUUAUUCAUCACCGUUGUGUGAUUGCACAUAUGAAUUAUGAAGGAGUUAUUUUGGUAGUCGGAGUUCCCCUUCAGAAAAAUUUCCGUAUUUGUUCAUUAUGAACUGAUAGCCUGGAGAAGAGGAAUAAAAACGGAGACCAUUCCCUGCGUCCUAUGCAGACAUUUCAAAUUAUCCAGUCAGGAUGACUUCAUGGUAUGAGGACGGAGUGUGAGUUGUUUGAAGCUGGGAGUUAAAUGCUUUCUCUUUCCCUCACUGUAAAUUAAUUAGAGAGUCUCUGCCAUUGGCUCCAGUGUAUGGAUUUUGUGAACUGUUUAAAGAAUGCGUGAACAUCAGAAGGAAUCAGUGCCUUUCGUUUGAUUCCCGUUACUGGAAGGAUCCACCCCUAGGACCCCCCCUGAUAAGUGUGCUCACCUUUGGGGGAGUAUUUCAGGAGACAGAGGGUAUCCAGGGAAAAUAUUGGGGAUUUUCAAAAUUCUGUGAUUGUAUUUGAGAUCAGGGUAGAAAAAAGCAAGGUGAUAGGUGGUGUCUGUCUGAUCCUGAGGAUGCGAUCCGAGGUGUGAAGAAUGAAACCACAAUCACUGUUUUCUUUGAAACGCCUCCCCUAAGACUCCCCCCCACACACCGCCUCCGCCCUGCCCCAUCUUUGCAGGUUUUUGGCGCAAAUGCUGAGGUGGCGGCGGGUGGAUUCUGCUGGCCAUUUUCCUUUGCCAUGUAGGCUUCCCCUGUGUUUACAGGAAAUUUUACUCCGCGCCUUUUAUCCUGGCAAGAGAAAACUUGCUGCUUUUCUCAGAACAGGGCUCUUUUCGCUGAUGAGAGUGAUUUUCUGUGAUUCCGCCCUACUUGGGGAAGAUUUUUGAGACUUCAAAUAAAAGACCAAGUAGUUGUAUCUGUGUAUGGAUGGAGGCAGCCACUCUGCUUAGAAUCCAGUGCCCUGACUAUUGAGUGAAAAUACCUGUUAUUGCUCUAACUGCCAUUUUUUGCUCUUGCCAAGUGGCCGGUGGGGAUGAGGAGUCGGGGAAGGAGCUGGGCUGGGCAGGAGGAAGUCCAUUUGCGAAGUCCAUUUGCAAAGUCCACAGCAGAAGGAUUCAGGCGGAGCAGCAGACACCCGAUCUGAAUUCUGUAGCGAUAAGAGGAGGAUUCGACCCGGGGCAGCUGGGCCACCGUGCUCAUUCUGCAGUAGCAUGCUGUGACAGACUAAUCUGAUGGCAUUUUCAUCUUAAUUUACUUGCCUCCUGCUUUUUGUACGUAACAGCAUUUCUGCCAAAGGUGAUACAUUUGCUAAAGCUUAACAUUCAGAUUCUUUCCUCAUAUGAGUGUUAUAUAAUUAUACAUACAUUUGGGCCCGAAGGUCCCCGGCUAACAAAUUCCCUUUGCAGGAGUACCGUUUGAGGGCCCAUUCUCUCAUUAAUUUUAUUUGACAUUUAUGUCAACAUUACAUUCCUAGCCUCAAAGGAGAACUCACACAUGCACGCGCAGGGGUGUGUUUUCAAGCGGAGUAUUUGGUUUGGCAGUGAAAAGCAGUCAGCAAGGUCUGCGGAAGCAGAAUGUUCUGAGUUAAUACAGAGUAGUCGAACUGCCCCAAAUUGAAGUUGUUGAACAAAGCGCUAAGUGGCCCCCUGCACGUGGCCGUUUUGCUACUUUGAGCAUUUUUCCUCUCGGGGCUCCCAGACUUCACUGACGUGGUGUUUCUGGCCAGUUCCCUGGAGAGUCAUCCGACGUGAAGAAAUGAGCUGAAAAUAAGUCACGAUGGUGUCAGGAGUGGGAGUUGUAAACAUCGAAGCCCCGCUUCUUCUCCCACUGCACUAACUUCAGACCAAGGAGUUUCUCAGCGAAACCCUGGGCCGGUCCAGCCUCCCAGCGCUGCUGAGUGUAAGUUCCACAAACACGGCCUCUGAGGUGGGAGGGCACCGGGAAGCCCAUCCAAACCGCCGGAGUUACGUUAGUUCUCAGACCACGUGGCCGUGGCAUUGCUUAGUGCUUUCAAAAGAAGACAGAAGCGUGAUCUGGGGUUGUUAACCCCAAACAAACAAACAAACAAAAGCGAUUGUUAGGGAGCGCUGCUGUGCUCCAACCUCGGGUCUAGGCGGGAUGCCGAGUCUGUGGACUGCUCAAGAGAGGAAGGGAGUCAGCCGUAAGCAGCAUCCGAGGGUCUGAACGUGGCAGUUCCUUUUGGUUCCAGAAUGCUGACUUUGACAUACUUUGUGGUUUGGUGUUCUGGAGCUGUACUUUGCGCUUGGCUGUAACGAUGCAUCGCAGACGGGGCUUUUGUUUUGCUGAGAAUUCACCAGCAGUGGAGAGGGCUGGCCUUUGGCCUGUAAGGAGUGGGCAGUUUGUCUCACCCCUCACCCUUCAUCAUUCCAGCAUUCACCCCUACCUCCCACCGUUCCCCAGCCCCGCCAGGGUUUCCUGACCCCAUGGAAACCCUCCGUCUGCUCCAUGCUGUCCUCACCAUGAAUCUGGAGGGUCAAGUGGUUGGUGACCAGCAGACCUACCAGCCUGUCCAGAUGGCCAGAUCCCUCAAGCUCAUCACUCGAGCAAUUUUUAACUAUGACCUUCUGGAGUCAGUAUCUCCUGGGGGUCCCCAUGGUGGUCUGUCCCCUUCCUGUCUCUGAAAAGCAGAGACUUUCUCGGGGAAGGAGACAAGGAGGACUGUUACGGUUUGUGAAGGGGGAGCUUGAUCGCCGCCAGCUCAGACAACUUUGUUCUCAGCCCCUGACUUUGGCCUUGAGGACUUUGUGAUUUUUCUCACCUGGUCUCGUCUGCUUAAGCUUCUGGCUAACCUCAGUCGGGAUUUCCCCCCAACCUCUUUAAAGGCACUCCAAGCAGAACUAGGAAAUUCAUCAUUUUCUGGCUGUCAAGGCAGUUCUGGAUUAUGCAGGGAAGAGAUUUUGAGAGCUGGAAGGGCUCGGGGGUCUGGGCCACCUGUGCACAAGUUUAAACCCAGAGGGUUAAGAGGCAGGCCUGCUGACAGUCACCCAUGCUUCAUUGCUCCUUCCAGCCACGGCCUGUAGGAGGAUCAGAGAAGCUUCCCAUUGCCCCGCAAUUGCUGGGACAAUGAAAGUGAUGGGAAUGCCUUUGCUGAGAGCUGACGGCAGUUAAGGUCCAGCAUCUAAGAAUGGAGGGGCCCUUCAAGACAGUGGAGUCAUAUCCUGAGGCCGUAGGCUCGAGGUGGCAGAGCUGGGACUGGCACCUGGCUCUCUCAAACCCUUAGUUCAGUUUUCCCCUCCACCCUUUCUGGGUGCAAGACAAUUAGAGGCGCCCCCUGACCGACUGUCUUUGUCUCUUCCUCUGCUCUCUCCCGGGCCUUCAUCAACCCCCCAAAGACCUAACACUUUAGAAGGGGAGUGUUUACUGUGGAACUAAUCUGUUCUUCUUGGGCCUCUGCCUCCACUUUAAACUUGGUUAAAACCAUUUCCUUAGAAAACAGCCAUCUCUCUGCUGGACCGCUUGCUGCCCACACUGGCUGCCCACGGCAGUCUUAGUGUGUUCAGGCUCCUGUAACAAAAUCCCCCAGAGUGGGUGGCUUUUCAACAGCAGAAUGUCUUCCUCCCGGUCUGGAGGUGGCAGUCUGAGAUGAGGGGGCUGAUGCGGUUAGGGCAGAGUCCUCCUCCAGGUCACAGACUUCUCGUCGCAUCCUUACGUGGUGGAAGGGGCCCGGAGCGCUCUGGGGUCCUUGUUGUAAGGGGCACUAAUCCCAUUCGUAAGGGCUCCACCUUCAUGACCCAGUCACCUCCCAAAGGCCCCACCUUCUAACACCAUCACGUGGGGCAUUAGGAAUCCAACCUAGGAAUUCUGGGGGACAUAGACGUUCAGACCAUAAGAAGGGGUGAUACCUCCCAGCCAGAAAGUGGCGAGGGUCAGCUGAGCAGAGGACGCAGUGGCUGAGGGCCUGCAGGGAGAGUGGUUCCCUUCACCAGUAAUUGUAGAUAGUGACAGUGGGGACAAGUUCCUCUGCUUCCUGCCCCUUGAAAAAUGUCCCCUCUUUGCCACUAAAGACCUCGCUUCCUUUAGCCGUCAGGCCUGGCGCAGAGAGCUGUGUCUGAUGGGGCCUCUAGUUCUUUUUUUUUUUUUUCCUCCCCAUUUCCCUGUUUUGGCUGCCCCGCAUCGCCUGGAGUUCCUGGGCCAGGGAUCAGAUCUGAUCUGUGGUUGUGACCGAAGCCUCAGCUAUAGCAAUGCCGGACCUUGCUGUCCGGGGCUGGGGACAUUAACAUGUAACAUUCGUCUCAGAGCUCCUAAGACGCUGCAGUUCCCAUUGUGCCACAGUGGGAACUCUGGGCCCCCUAGCUCUUGUCCCCCAGAACCUGUACUUGUGGCAUCUGGCUCACUGCUUGGUUGGGAACGGGAGUACAGGUGGCAUCCUUGCUGUGUGACAAAGGGCUCUCGGGCACGCUUUUUUCUCCACGCCGUUUAGAGAUUACAGGUGGACCCGCUCUGUGGAUGGAAGCCUCAGUCCCUUCCUUCUUCAAGGAAAUAUUCGGAAAGCAGCCAGUGCCUGGUCUUCCUCUAAGUGCAGCUUUAUUGGCAUUUGGCGUCUUGUAAUAUAUUUUUAAUAUACUAUGUAUGCUGUAUCUGAGUAAAUCAGUAGGUAUGUUUUGAAAUUAAAUAUUUGCUAAGGGCUAGGUUCGCCCGAUGUUAAAUUAUUGAUAACAAACUUCACAGACACUGUAUGAGACUUGAUGAUAUAUGAGUUUUGAGUGACCUGCCAUUUAUUAGACUUUAUCUGCCCAUGAAAUCCAUUUCCAAUUCAGACCGUAUCUGCUCGGGGAUUGCUUGCCAGAAAUCUAUUCCCAGGUUCCUCCUUAUUUCAGUGAAAUAUCUCUGGCUCAGCACCUUUCCCAAGGUGGCUGAUCUAAUCGGGGCCCAAUCACUUAUCUCUUCUCAUUUCCUUUGGCAGGUCUGUCAAACUGCAGAGUGCAUCUCGGGGACACUCAGAAGCCAUAGGCGACCCACCUCCUUCGCCCUUUUCCUGGAGAGUGGAAAGUGAACUCCCUGAACUAGAGCCCCCCUCUGGGGUCUGUAAACAGAAACAGGACCCACCUGUGUGGUCAGGAAAACAGAAGUGGUCCCCCCCACCCCCGUGUCAGGAGCUGUCAGGAACCUCUCCAUAAUGAACAGUGUUCAGGGACCCUGAGCAAUUAGAGCUCAUUUGCAUGGCGUGGAAGGGCCCUGGGCCCCCUUCCCCGCUGGGCUCUUCCGGCUCCCCCUCCUCUCUGACUUCCCCGGAGACAGGUGCGAGCUUCUGGCUGCUGCAAGGUCCAGCUGGCAGGAGAACUCCAACUUGUCAUCACAGAAAUAAAAUUUGUCACCUCCA